Molecule: ribosomal RNA, 819 nt
Filed under: uncultured Sphingobacteriales bacterium
Lineage: Bacteria; Pseudomonadati; Bacteroidota; Sphingobacteriia; Sphingobacteriales
Description: bacterial SSU rRNA
Rfam family: Bacterial small subunit ribosomal RNA
Source: RNAcentral
CAUGCAAGUCGUGGGGCAGCGCAGUGUAGCAAUACAUGGGCGGCGACCGGCAAACGGGUGCGGAACACGUACGCAACCUUCCUUUAAGUGGGGGAUAGCCCAGGGAAACUUGGAUUAAUACCCCGUAAUAUUACGGAGUGGCAUCACUUUUUAAUUAUAGCAGCAAUGCGCUUGAAGAUGGGCGUGCGCCUGAUUAGGUAGUUGGCGGGGUAACGGCCCACCAAGCCUUCGAUCAGUAACUGGUGUGAGAGCACGACCAGUCACACGGGCACUGAGACACGGGCCCGACUCCUACGGGAGGCAGCAGUAAGGAAUAUUGGUCAAUGGACGAAAGUCUGAACCAGCCAUGCCGCGUGGAGGAUGAAGGUCCUCUGGAUUGUAAACUUCUUUUAUUUGGGAAGAAACCCACGAUUUCUAUUGUGGUUGACGGUACCAGAUGAAUAAGCACCGGCUAACUCCGUGCCAGCAGCCGCGGUAAUACGGAGGGUGCAAGCGUUAUCCGGAUUCACUGGGUUUAAAGGGUGCGUAGGCGGGCAGGUAAGUCAGUGGUGAAAUCCCCGAGCUUAACUUGGGAACUGCCGUUGAUACUAUCUGUCUUGAAUACUAUGGAGGUAAGCGGAAUAUGUCAUGUAGCGGUGAAAUGCUUAGAUAUGACAUAGAACACCAAUUGCGAAGGCAGCUUGCUACACAGUUAUUGACGCUGAGGCACGAAAGCGUGGGGAUCAAACAGGAUUAGAUACCCUGGUAGUCCACGCCCUAAACGAUGAUUACUCGACAUCAGCGAUACACUGUUGGUGUCUGAGCGAAAGCAUUAAGUAA